This 496-nucleotide ribosomal RNA is filed under the name uncultured bacterium. RNAcentral describes it as "partial 16S ribosomal RNA". It matches the Rfam family "Bacterial small subunit ribosomal RNA", at positions 28 to 507 of the family's 1533-position model. The record is from RNAcentral.
GACGAACGCUGGCGGCGUGCCUAAUACAUGCAAGUAGAACGCUGAAGAGAGGAGCUUGCUCUUCUUGGAUGAGUUGCGAACGGGUGAGUAACGCGUAGGUAACCUGCCUUGUAGCGGGGGAUAACUAUUGGAAACGAUAGCUAAUACCGCAUAACAAUGGAUGACACAUGUCAUUUAUUUGAAAGGGGCAAUUGCUCCACUACAAGAUGGACCUGCGUUGUAUUAGCUAGUAGGUGAGGUAAUGGCUCACCUAGGCGACGAUACAUAGCCGACCUGAGAGGUUGUUCGCCCACCCUGGACCUGGGACCCGCCCCGGACUCCUACGGAGGGCGCCGUAAGGGAUUCUUCGGCAAUGGGGCAAACCCUGCCCGGCCACGGCCGCUUGGUGGAGGAGGGUUUUCGGUUCUUAAACCUCGGUUUUAGUUAAGAAACGGGUGUGGAGUUGAAAGGUCCCCCCUUGGCGGUAGCUUAACAGAAAGGGACCGCUUACUUCGUU